CCCUCAGCUAUAUUUGUCCCUCCCCCAUCAUCUCUCCCCCUCUCUUUCCACUCUCCGUAUCAAAGCCCGGGGGAGCCAGCAGAGAUUAAAUGUAGCCUCUAUAAGCCAAGCACAUCAUGUAGCUAUGUUUCUAUGGCCUGCUCUCUCUCGCCCCUCUCUCUUGCUCUCUUUCUGCUCUCUCUCUCUCCCCUCUCAUUCUCUUUUUGAAGGAUAGUGUUAAUGAUGUCGGGCAUGUGUGAGGUAGUGAGGCAGUGAGUGAGAAAGAGCGAGAGAGAGCGAGAGAGAGAAAGAGAGAAAACGAGAGACGGAGAGGGAGGGAGGGAAAGUGAGAGAGAACGUAUGAGACAGAGAGGAUACAUGCAAGAAGAAAAUCAAGGAAAACUGAGGAUUUGUUGACGGGAAACGGACUUAACUAAAACACUGAAAAGGUGGAAAAGCAAGAGGCGGCCGACUUUCUCAUUCCUCCUCCUCCUCCUCCUCCUCCUCUCCCUCCGCCUCCUCCUCCUCUCUCUCUGUCUCUAUCUGUCUCUCUGGCUGAUACAGCAGAGAAGUGGGCCUCUUGCUUUAAAUUAUUACAGCUGUACAGGCAAAUUAAUGGAUGAUAUUUCAAAAUUUAUUUGGAAAAGCAUUUUUUCAUCUCCUGCCUUUCAACACAGAUGCAUGAAGACGAGAGCGGGGGACCUGGGAUUCAGUUUUAUUUUUUCCUUUCUCCUUUCUUCCAAUUUUGCAUGUGUUUCUGUUCUGCACUGAGAGAGAGAGGGAGAGAGACAGAGUGAGAGAGAGAGAGAGAGAGAGAGAGAGAGAGAGAGAGAGGGGGGUGAAAGAAAAAAAUGUAUCAAUGUUAGCGAGGGAAGCAGAACAGCAGCAACAUCCAUUGAUGCAUUUUGUCUUUUAAUUAGUUUGGAUAUUUUUUUUGCUCUUGUGACAUAUAUGACAACAAACUAUACAUUUUCUUCUAACCUGAACUGGAUAUGAAAUAGGGACAUACAACCAAGUUAACAGCAGCGAAACAAAGCAACAAGGGACAAGGGUUGCUGCCUCCUCAUUCCGAACCAGACGUGGGCUCUCGGGAGCUGGGAGUGGUGCGCUGUCGUCCCGUCCGUGGCUCUCUCUGCAAGACAAAGGCGUUUCAGACUGUCAAACGUACAUAGACACUAUAUUGUCGGAGAAGGAAAACCGUCUGGAAAGAAAAGGGGGAAAAGGUUAGCUGGAAUCAGGCGGCAGUGUGUGUGGGGGGGGGUUGAAGGAAUGCCGGCUCGAGGGUCAUGUGACACAAUGGUGGGUUGAAAUCAGCUGAGGAAUCUUUGUGGUGGGGUGGAAGAUGGAGGGGGGAGCUUGCGUUACCAAGCUAACAUUACUAAUCCUGGACUUUAAGCUAACGUUACCAAUCCUGGACAUGUGAACGUUUAAGCUAACGUUACCAAUCCUGGACAUGUGAACGUUUAAGCUAACGUUACCAAUCCUGGACAUGUGAACGUUUAAGCUAACGUUACCAAUCCUGGACAUGUGAACGUUUAAGCUAACGUUACCAAUCCUGGACAUGUGAACGUUUAAGCUAAUGUUACCAAUCCUGGACAUGUCUCUGAGGCCCACAAAAAAAUAAAACUAGUCACUGGCCCAGUCUGUUCUGUUAUUCCUUUGUCUUUCCUCUGACAACUGGGAAAGUGGUUUCUUUCUGUUUCUGUCCAUGUCUUAUUCUGUCUUGAGAGCAGCACAAAGUACUGUGGAGAGCGUGAAGGUAUAACAGCUCGGUAUACUUGUGUUUGACCUCACUGAGCCCUCGUCUUCAUGCACACAUGCGUGCACACACACAUACACACACAAGGUAGCGUGUGCGUAGACAGUACGUUCGUAGGGGUUUGUAUAUCAGAGAGCCUGUAUGUUAGCAGUUAUUACCAUGUCACAUUGAGCCUGUAUGUUAGCAGUUAUUACCAUGUCACAUUGAGUCUGUAUGUUAGCAGUUAUUACCAUGUCACGGAUGUAGUGUAACCUUUUUUAACGGAGCAGCUAGCAAAUUCUAGUGUAUCUGCUAAACUACUUAAAAUAACUGCAAGUCUGUUGGGUUUGAACUUGCUUUAGGGACAGCAAACUGAACAGCUCACACCCAGCUUCUGAUAGCAACGGGGCUAACAUGCUUAGGGCUAACAUACAUGUUUUGUUUGCAUUCUGCUCUUGACUAUUUACAGUCCUCAUUAACAUGAUCUAUUGUCAACAAUCCUUGCUGUGAUUAGGCUAGCAUCAUGCUAAUAAAAGCACUGUGGAUUCUCCCUCCCUCUGUGAGCCAUGCUGGAAGGUAGAUAAACUGUGUUUCAGAACAGCGACUCCAUUAUAGCCUCGGCCCAUCCCCUCAUUGCUGCACUGGCCCAUCCCCUCAUUGCUGCACUGGCCCAUCCCCUCAUUGCUGCGCUGCAGGAGUACGUUCCUCCUCUCACUGCUAACCUCUUUGUGCUGGCUGUGUAAAAUGGCACCCUUUCAGGACUCCUCACCAGUGUGACAGUAUGCGUAAGGACUUAGUGCUCCAGAACAGUAACCCUCAGUCUAAUAUCCCUACACCGGCCGACGUGUUUAAACGUGUGAUUAUUUCUUCUGUACUACUAUAACUAACUAUAGCAUAGAUGCAAUAACAGCAGCUGCCCCUGUGAGAUGCGUGUGUGUGUGUGUGUGUGUGUGUGUGUGUGUGUGUGUGUGUGUGUGUGUGUGUGUGUGUGUGUGUGUGUGUGUGUGUGUGUGUGUGUGUGUGUGUGUGUGUGUUGCUCUGGUCUGGUGUGUCGUUAACUGGUAGCGCACUGCAGUGUGGGCAAUCCUGGGUAACAAGCAGCCUCAUCCAUGUACCAUGUGGCACACAUAGCUCAGCCCUGGGUCAGACAUUCUCACCACUAACUUAUUAACAGAGAAAGUCUAGCAUGUUUUAAAUCUGCAUUGUUGAUUCACACACAAUGGUUCAGUGUGGUUCGAGGGGAGAGUGAAAUGUGUGAAAUGUAGCAUUUCUUUUUGCUGCAACACUGUGUUGGGGUUAUAGUGCUAUAAGGUGUAGAUUUGCACUGUAAAGGUCUAGUUCAGGUAACUGUUUCGUCUUUGAGGGUUUUUCUGGGUCACUCGACGGACUAAACUGGGUUUCUAAUAGAAAUCUUUGCUCGUCUGUUCUUGCUAGAGCGCUCUCCUUGUAUAAAAAAGGAAACCUAUUUCGAGCCUCCACCUCAGCCCUGUGACAAACAGUUUUAUUUGUUCAGCUUGGUAAGCAAACAGCAGCGCUGAGGCGUCUCGCCCCGAUCUGAAGCGUUGCAACAAUGUCGAUGGCUCCUUUGCACCUUGCCUGGUGACUCCCAUGAUGCCGGGCAGAGCAUACUGGUACCGAGUAGCGUGUACUGGGCCAGGAGUGUCCUUUGUGCCAGCAUCUUUGCUCCAGAACACGCGGUAGCAGGAGUUUACAGACCCCAUUCCGCAGUUUCCGCCACUCCCUGGAACACCCUUCCCUUGCUGCAGUUCUACUUGAAGGCUAUUGGUGCAGAGCAUUAUGGGUACUGUUGUGCAUCAUGCUACUCAACUCUCUGCACAGGCCAGUGUGGAAGUCAAUAAUCGGAUAGUGUGAGGAGAGUUGAUGAUCUGUGCUGUAAAGCACUUGUGGGUAGUCUGUGAGCUGAAACAACAGGUAUACGAGACAAGAUUGCGCAGGCAGCCACAAAAGGAUCCUUGCACUGCACUAGAAUAAGUGUGACCAAGUUUCAAGUUUUAUUAGUCGUAUGUACAGGAUACACAGUGAGAAUGGCAGAAUGGUGAACUUACUAAAUGAAAUGAGAGGUUGACUGUGUGAUAUUAGGUUGCUUCUUGUGUAAAUAUUUUCUGUCUGGAUUUUAACACUCCAAAAUAUACCGUAACCCUAAAGAUCUUUAUUUAGGGUCCAAUGAAAUGCUUACUUGCAGGUUCCUUCUGGACAAUGCAACAAGAAUAAGAAAUAAUACAAGAUAAGAAUACGAACAUAAAGUAAAUGGUUCAGUAGAAUAUAAUGAAAUGUUUAGCAUAAGUAUAAUAACAAAGCUAUGAACAAUAAAACCAGUUCAAUCAAAUUGUGGCAAAUGACUACUACAGUUUUGUGAUAUGAAGUGGAGUGGAUCCUGAGGAUGAACAUUUUGGACGGAGGUUUUUGUUCUUGGACUAACAAGUGGGCUUGUCUGGCAGCAGCAGCUUAGAGUAUCCUCACAGUGCUCUCUCGCUCUGCAAUCAGGACAGCUCAGACGUAGAAUCACUCUGUUGGAGCCCACACUCAAAGAAUUACAGCAGGGAACCUUUCUCAGCGUCCCAUUUAAGUGAAGGGUAAUUACAUUAAGGCCCUUUGUACACGAGAAGAAGACAUGAUGGUCUGCAAGCAGAGAGAUCAGGGCUCAGAGUCGAACACUGGGCAAUUUAUUGUCAAUUUGGACCAUUUGAAAAACCAUGGAUGGAGCUAAUGUCCAAACUCUAUCCAGGUUGUUUUUCAUUUUACCUUUCUUAAACUAGGCAAGUUAGUUAAGAACAAAUUCUUAUUUUCAAUGACAGCCUAGGAACAGUGGGUUAACUGCCUUGUUCAGGGGCAGAACGACAUUUGUACCUUGUCAGCUCAGGGAUUCAAUCUUGCAACCUUUCGGUUACUUGUCCAACGCUCUAACCACAAGGCUACCUGCCCCGCUGUGUCUCAGUAACACUGAUGUGCUGAACAUUUUACAGGGUUUGGGUUAGCUCAAUAAAUGAUCUCCCUCCAUUUACUGCAGUUGCUAUUCCAAUGAAAUAAGUGAGACUUUAUACCACACAUUAAAUAAGAGUCUUUUAUAUAUCUACACAUAGUGACACAUUAGAUCCGCCAUAUAAAACAGGUUGAACAUCCUUCUCAAGGCCCUGCCAGAGAAUAGAGCAUCAUUCAUUUAGCUAAUAACAUCACUGGUCAUGUCAUUAAGACGACACAUUAUUCUCUCGUUAGACGGAAAGCAAUCAGUCUUUGAGCUGCUUUACUUGAUCGUCUGGGUCUGAACAUUCCAGUAGGCUGGCAACAAACAGAAGCGGCAAUUGGGUCUGAAGGAUGAUUUGCUGCAGCAUGUGCAAUACUUGGCCACUUGAAGAGAUGUGUGCCUGCUGCAAAUGCUGGUGACACUUUACAUAUACCUGCUGUUAACAUAUGCACACUGUAACAUCGGGACCAGAGAAGCCAAGAGUCUGUCUAUCUUUCUCACUAUUUUUAAUGACAUGCUCUCUCUGUCUCUCUCCCUCUCUCUUUCACUGUCUCUAUCUAUCUCUCUCUCAAUGUAUGCUCACACAUACGGACACACACACACACACACACACACACACACACACACACACACACACACACACACACACGGCCCAGCUGCGUAGCUAGUUUAUUAGAUAAUGAGCAGGUAGGAGAGACAGUGCUGUCUACUUGGCCAUCUGUGAGGGCGCCUCCCUGUCCAGGUUAAAGGAGCUUUAGGAUUAAACACUCCCACCACGCUAUGUGGAUUAAUCACUACUCAGGACUAACCUAAUUAAUCCAAGAGGGAUAUGUCACUAGUGUAUGCCAACAGUCGCCACAGUCGCUUACAGUCUCCUCUAACCUCAUAGCACCCCAUUCCUUUGGUAGUGCACUACUUUUAGCCAGAGCGCACCCUAUUCACUUCAUAGUGCACUACUUUUACCUAGAGCGCUCCCUAUUCCCCAUGCAGUCCCCUACUUCUGGCCAGAGUCCAGCCUGUUUCCUAUGUAGUGCACUCUAAAGGCUCUGGCCAAAAGUGGUGCACUGUAUAGGGACUAAGGUGCCAUUUCAGAUAUGGCCUGUUUCCUAUGUGAUGUGGAGGAAGAGGGAAGGCUUUCCAUCCUCUUACUGCGUCUGAAGUCACACAGUGUCUCCUUAGACAUAUUCUGGUCAAGCCAGGUUCAUCAACACCGAGAGGAGCCAUGGAAAUCCCCCUGCUUAGAGUCAAGAGAAAGAUGGAGAACGAUUCUCUUUGUUCUCUUUUUUUAUUUCUCUCUCUCUCUCUCUUUGUCUUUCUCUCCUACUCUCUUUCUCUCUCUCUCUCUCUCUAGUUCUCUCCCUUUCUUUCUCCUAUUUCUCACAGGCACACAUACAGACACAAACACACAGACAGAAAAAUUAACACAGGCACACAUACAGACACAAACACACAGACAGAAAAAUGAACACAGGCACACAUACAGACACAAACACACAGACAGAAAAAUGAACACAGGCACACAUACAGACACAAACACACAGACAGAAAAAUGAACACAGGCACACCAACCAACUCUCUCCAGUCUCUCAGGUUUAACCCUGAGAGGGGAAUGUGUAAUUAUUGUGAUUAAUAGAUAAUCUAUGAUAGGCUUUAUCUUUGGAUUCAUCUACACAGGCGCAUUCUCCUAUGGCUAUCCCAAAGAAUAACCCUUCUGUACAAUAUAGCCACUAUCUUGCACAGUAUAAGCACUCCUUCUAUUCGUGAUCUGAACCACUGUUAUAUCUGUUGCAAGUUGAUCUCAAACCACAUCCUUUAUCAUAGAAACAAGUCUGGUUUAGAUUAUCAACCAGUCUGAAUUGCCCUUAUUCAAAUCUUUCUGAUAACAUUUUUUGGUCAUUCCCAACAUUUCUUCAAUUGAUCUGAUAAACUAUUCAUGUGAAGGUCUGUUUAUACACGCUAAUAAACCAUUAUCAGGUACUUUGUUAACCAACAUAUCAUGUGUGUGUAAACCAUGAACGGUAACACUGCUUACAGCCAGUGGGUAUAAUGCUUCAUUACUUGUUAUAAGAAUAAUGAGCCCUAGGGCGCUGUUUUGCGUAGUCAUGUGACAUGCCUGGAUUUUAAACUUUAUUUAAAGCUUUUUCAUCAAACUGUCCCAUUUUCUUUUUAUGUCAGAUGAUCUGGAUAAUAUCUUAUUAUAAUACUUACAAUAUGUUAUGUGUUUAUAUGCUGUAAAAAAAAGGGUCCGACUAAAAAUAGCUGUUAUUUAGUUGGAAUCAUUAUGAUAUUAUAAUAACACAAAGGAGUUAUAGUCUUAACCAUUUACAAAUAGCUGCUAUUUAGUUGGAAUCAUUAUGAUAUUAUAAUAACACAAAGGAGUUAUAGUCUUAACCAUUUACAAAUAGCUGUUAUUUAUUUGGAAUCAUUAUGAUAUUAUAAUAACACAAAGGAGUUAUAGUCUUAACCAUUUAAAAAUAGCUGUUAUUUAGUUGGAAUCAUUAUGAUAUUAUAAUAACACAAAGGCGUUAUAGUCUUAACCAUUUACAAAUAGCUGCUAUUUAGUUGGAAUCAUUAUGAUAUUAUAAUAACACAAAGGAGUUAUAGUCUUAACCAUUUACAAAUAGCUGUUAUUUAGUCAGAAUCAUUAUGAUAUUAUAAUAACACAAAGGAGUUAUAGUCUUAACCAUUUACAAAUAGCUGCUAUUUAGUUGGAAUCAUUAUGAUAUUAUAAUAACACAAAGGAGUUAUAGUCUUAACCAUUUAAAAAUAGCUGUUAUUUAGUUGGAAUCAUUAUGAUAUUAUAAUAACACAAAGGAGUUAUAGUCUUAACCAUUUAAAAAUAGCUGUUAUUUAGUUGGAAUCAUUAUGAUAUUAUAAUAACACAAAGGAGUUAUAGUCUUAACCAUUUAAAAAUAGCUGUUAUUUAGUUGGAAUCAUUAUGAUAUUAUAAUAACACAAAGGCGUUAUAGUCUUAACCAUUUACAAAUAGCUGCUAUUUAGUUGGAAUCAUUAUGAUAUUAUAAUAACACAAAGGAGUUAUAGUCUUAACCAUUUAAAAAUAGCUUACUAAUGUUUAAUAAACAAUGACCUACAAAAAUGUUCAGCAAAUCAUUAACUGGUGAUUUAUAAAUGAUCUAUAAAUGGCUUAUAAAUUAACACUAUUAUAAAGCGUUACCAUCAUUUGCCCAGCAAAGAAUAACCAAAUUCCCCUUUUUUGAUGAAAAAGAAAGCAAGCUGUUUAUUAAUUACAAUGUGUAAUGAGCGUCUCCUGUGUUACUGUGGGUCUUCUGUCAGUCAGAUAGUGAACAUACAGAAUGUGUAAUGAACGUCUCCUGUGUUACUGUGGGUCUUCUGUCAGUCAGAUAGUGAACAUACAGAAUGUGUAAUGAACGUCUCCUGUGUUACUGUGGGUCUUCUGUCAGUCAGAUAGUGAACAUACAGAAUGUGUAAUGAACGUCUCCUGUGUUACUGUGGGUCUUCUGUCAGUCAGAUAGUGAACAGGCAGAAUGUGUAAUGAGCGUCUCCUGUGUUACUGUGGGUCUUCUGUCAGUCAGAUAGUGAACAUACAGAAAAAAAGACAUUUAAAAAAUUCAUGUUAAAUAAUCUAUUAUAACUAGCUUUUAGAUCAAAUCAAAUGUAUUUAUUUACUACUAUGAGUGGUUAAAUAUGGAGGCGUAAGCUACAAAAUGUACCUUAUGAUACUGUUUAGUUGGUACGGCUGUUUUUUAAUCUGCUGCUGUGCUUUUGUUACAUAGUUUUUCCAUGUAGAAUUAAUAAGAGUUGGCAAGUGGCCCUUUUUCUCAGUCCUUUAAAAAUAAAUCCCACAUGCCACGCCAAUGGUGAGAACAAGGUUUUGACAUCUCUGUCUCACACAUAUUAUGUGUGAGUGGGCGCUUUUACAAGAACUGUCAAAGUUAACAUUUACGUUGUUUUGCAGACGCUCUUAUCAAGAGCAACUAGGGUUAAGUGCCUUGCUCAAGGGCGCACAUCAACAGACUUUUCACUUAGUCAGCUUGGGGAUUCAAACCAGCAACCUUUUAGUUACUGGCCCAAUGCGCUUAACCGUUAGGCUACCUGCUGCUCUAACGCGUUAAUAACGGCUGAUAUCUUUAAUGCCAUUCAAUUCUUUGACGUCGUUAAUCACAUCUCCAUUUCUUCACCGCACAGACCAUUUUAAGCACACGCGUUUCUGCAUGGACCCCUUUAAGUGCAACACACAACACGCUCUGUGCUGUAGCUGUCUGUCUCUAUUGUGUUGCUCAAACAUCCACUAGCUUCUUGAUUCAACUAACUUCACACAAUUGAUUUAAUCAGAACAAGACAUCCAUUCCAUGCAUUAACUGUUUUUGUUGUUAUCUCAGGUUAAAAAGAUUUAAACAAAUUAUCCCAAUUCUAAUAGCAGCUUGUGACUAGUUCAUGUUGAAGAACAUGGAUCAGUAGCCUAGGAAAGAUCUAAUAGCUGUAUUAUAUUUGACAUGAACUAAGACCUGGCUGAUCUGUUGUUAUUGUCUUCUGGGUUUAAAUGCUCUUUGUUCUUUGUAUCCAUAGACCCAGUCGGUACUAGAUGUGGUGACCCCAUCUGGUGAAAAAAACCUGUGGUUACCCCAUUGGCUAACUGCAAAAACUGUGCUCACAGCAAAACAGAAAUGUGCUCAUUCCUAGUCAGUAAAAGAUAGAAAGUCGCCUGUGGGGAAUACAACCUGUAGUUACCUAGGUUACCCCAUUGGCUCACAGAAAAACUUGACCUUUUUCAAACGCAAUUUUCUUGUUGUCUGCUUGUUUUAGUCAAUUACAUAACUACAUUUAAGAAAAGUACAACAUGUCUAAAGAUGACUUUUCAACAUUACCUGCUCCUGAGCGUUCUCACUACUUAGAAAAACAUAAUAUUGUAGGCCUUCCCUCAUGCCUCUUUUCAUAACGAUGCUAACAGACACUUGAGUGAGUGAGUGCUAGCUAUCUACUGACCGGAACAUUAAGCUAGCUAAGACCAACAACACAAACAAACAGACUAUACAGCUACAAGUAGUGAGUGGAGUUACAAACAGACAGUACUAAACAAGUUAAAUGUCUUACCUGUGAUGACAUUUUUUCCACACACAAAGCUACGUGUAGCCUGAAGUGUGUGUGUGUGCACGCAAGUGUUAAACUUCAAGAACAUUGAUAAGAGGGAGUAGGCCUACUUAAACAUUGGGAGCAUUAAUAGCUGUAUGUUACAGUGACUUUUGUGUUGUUUAUGGUGAAAAUGCUAUUUAAACAUUCUGAUGAAGAUCAUUUUGUGUUGUUUAUGGUGAAAAUGCUAUUUAAACAUUCUGAUGAAGAUCAUUUUGUGUUGUUUAUGGUGAAAAUGCUAUUUAAACAUUCUGAUGUGGAUCCCUUUGUGUUGUUUAUGGUGAAAAUGCUAUUUAAACAUUCUGAUGAAGAUCAUUUUGUGUUGUUUAUGGUGAAAAUGCUAUUUAAACAUUCUGAUGUGGAUCCUUUUGUGUUGUUUAUGGUGAAAAUGCUAUUUAAACAUUCUGAUGUGGAUCCUUUUGUGUUGUUUAUGGUGAAAAUGCUAUUUAAACAUUCUGAUGUGGAUCCUUUUGUGUUGUUUAUGGUGAAAAUGCUAUUUAAACAUUCUGAUGUGGAUCCCUUUGUGUUGUUUAUGGUGAAAAUGCUAUUUAAACAUUCUGAUGAAGAUCAUUUUGUGUUGUUUAUGGUGAAAAUGCUAUUUAAACAUUCUGAUGUGGAUCCCUUUGUGUUGUUUAUGGUGAAAAUGCUAUUUAAACAUUCUGAUGAAGAUCAUUUUGUGUUGUUUAUGGUGAAAAUGCUAUUUAAACAUUCUGAUGUGGAUCCCUUUGUGUUGUUUAUGGUGAAAAUGCUAUUUAAACAUUCUGAUGUGGAUCCCUUUGUGUUGUUUAUGGUGAAAAUGCUAUUUAAACAUUCUGAUGUGGAUCCUUUUGUGUUGUUUAUGGUGCCAUUAAAAUCCUCUGAUGCAGAUUAUUUUAUGUUUCUUUCCCUUACAAUCAAAACAUAGCAUGCCUAUAACUCAAUGCACUGCUUUUUAAAUGGAAAAUUGUUUAUUUAGGGACAAAUUUGGGCAAAUUCUAAAUUGCAAUUAAGGGAUGCCAUUAAGUUAAUUCAUUAUUUUAAUCGUUUGACAGCACUAGUUUAUACUGUACCCUAGUGAGUUAGGAGAGGGGUUGACUAAUUUAAAAAAAUGACCAGUGAUUGUCGCUUUGACAGUGCAUUAUAAAACCUUUCAUUUAAACUUUUAGAUAUAAAGAUUUAUAGGCUGGAAAAAAACAAUGCCAAAAUAUCAAGUCAACCUUGAUAUUUUUGAAAAUGAUGUUUUAGUAUAAUUCUCAGAAAGGAUAAGCCUACCGAUUUAGAUGAGAUGUUGCUAUAUUGUACACUAAGUGUUCAAAACAUUAGGAACACCUGCUCUUUCCAUGACAUAGACUGACCAGGUGAAUCCAGGUGAAAUCUGUGAUCCCUUAUUGAUGUCACAUGUUAAAUCCACUUCAAUCAGUGUAGAUGAAGGGGAGAAGACAGGUUUAAGAAGGAUUAUUAAGCCUUGAGACAAUUGAGACAUGGAUUGUGUAUGUGUGCCAUCCAGAGGGUGAAUGGGCAAGACAAAAUAUUUAAGUGCCCUUGAACGGGGUAUGGUAGUAGCUGCUAGGCACACUGGUUUGAGUCAAGAACUGCAACGCUGCUGGGGAUUUCACACUCAACAGUUUCCCGUGUGUAUCAAGACGGUCCACCAUCCAAAGGACAUCCAGCCAACCAAUGAAUUGAGGCUGUUCUGCGGGUGCAACUCAAUAUUAGGAAGGUGUUCCUAAUGUUUUGUACACUCAUUGUAUACCAAACCUAGCUUGGUUUCUCAGGUUCUAUGUGGGGGAGUUUUUUAAUACAUAUCUUACAGGAAACCACCUAUUUAUAAUGAUAGAAUUGUAUGUCUUUCUCUUUUAAGUGUAUACUUGUUCAGAAUAUCUCAGAUUGAUGAUGUACUGCAUGUAAACAAAAACAUUUACAAUUGCAUUUGCAACAUUGCUGUUUUCCAACAAUAAAGAUUCCGAAACCUGUCUUUCUGUUGUUGUUGUUUAAAGUUAUUCUGACAUUUUCUGACUUGAAAAUGGAAACGCUUAGGAAUGGGAAUGGAAAUCAUACUUAUUGUUUUAAUCUAUGAGACUAUGACAAUUAUUUCACAAUAAAUACAGUAGAACACCAGUGGUAAUAGGGUUGGAAAAUAAAAUGUGAACUAUCCCUUUAAGUUAACACACAUAAUAUCAGCAAAACCUCCAAAAGGAUCCUGUUCACACACAUCGCAAAUGUCAAAUUGCUAGAUGAUUGCUAGAAAAUGUUAUUGAACUACAAUAAGGUGACAGACAUUAAAACAUAAUAUAAACAGCAGUCAGUGGUGAUGCAGGUCAAGUAUAUCCAAGUGUUAUGAUUGUGAAUACAAACCUGACCAUAUGCACUGUAGUAUACAAAUGUAUAUGAACAAACUUCCCUUCCC
RNAcentral lists this long non-coding RNA (12195 nucleotides) under Salmo salar (Atlantic salmon). RNAcentral's name for it is "lncRNA (ENSSSAG00000086319.1, ENSSSAG00000101900.1)". The record is from RNAcentral. Lineage: Eukaryota; Metazoa; Chordata; Actinopteri; Salmoniformes; Salmonidae.